This is a long non-coding RNA of Bos taurus (domestic cattle), 471 nucleotides long. The record is from Ensembl. Lineage: Eukaryota; Metazoa; Chordata; Mammalia; Artiodactyla; Bovidae.
CCUGCCCAUACGGAGCGUACCACCCACUGAAAGAGAAGAGCAAUACGCAAACACUUGCGCUGACAGCGUACACUGAAAACUGAGUACACCGCCAGGAAGGAAAGGUACGCAGGACUGUGAGCACACAGGGAGGCAGGCCAGCCUUGCCCUGGGUGUCAGGAGGAAGCUGCCAUUAAACAACUGGACAUUUUUAGCUCCAGCCUGGAGAACACGGUGCCUGACCAUUGGCAAUCCUUGGUUUAGAUUCUGAACAUUUGUUAGUCUCUAAAUACUUUCAUUUAAUACCAUGGAAACUUGUACUUGGAGAUUUAUGGCAUCUAAUUCUCAUACUUCAUCUUACAGAUGAAACAGAGGCCCAGUGGAGGCCCUGAAAGAGGAUGGUUCUGGCAUCCUUACAGCAAAGGGAUGGUAACCUGAUGGAUGAGUUAAAACAACACGCUUGGUGAAUGGUGAGAAGUAUGGGACAGCUUG